AGCUGCAAGGAAUGCAAAUCAUUUCUGUUCGCCAACAUGGAGAAAUCAAAGAAAAUAAAACUUUUCAGACGCAGAAAUAGAACCUUUGAUCACCAAAGUGGAAGCAAAACAAGCCAUACUUUUUAGAGCACUCCGCAAUGGCUUGACAAAUAAGAUAAAAAAUAUUGCUUGGGAGCAGGUUAGUGCUGUGGUAAAUAACAUCUGAAGUUCUUCAAAGGUUUCUGGACUCUGUCAUAUCUUCCUGCUGAGCGAGCUGGAAAUUCUUGGCCACGUUCCCAGCAGCGCAAGGUCAUGGCUAAAAGGGAUCCCGCUUUUGUCAAAUUAACUUCAAAAGUACAUUUUCGCAUUUUACCAAACCCUUUUCCUAACCUUAACCUAAAAGUCUCAUAACCUGCUACGUUAAUUAUUCUAACCUGCUACGAAAAGUCAAAUCGGACUUUAAUUUGACAAAAGCUGGAUCCCUUCUAGCCAUGACCGCACCGCAGCCUCCUGGGGCUGAUUUAGCUAAUGUUCCCACCCAGGAAUCCAGGACUUCUGACAGCAACCAGGCCAGACUCUCUUUCAAGGCCACACUCCGUCAGCCUCUCCCGGGCUGUGGCCCAGAGUCUGCCCCCGAGGCCAGCCAGGAACCUCUCCCUCAAAAGGCUGUCUCCCAUCUUCCUGGAGCUCCCAGAGAAACAGCCACUCUAUUAAAUGACAAUUACUCAAAACUAAGCCUGCCACACCCCAUUUUCUUUCUCUCCCUCCCUGACCUCUCUCUCCCCCCAUGGUCACCCCUAACAUUUCACACAACAGAACUCUUUCUCAUGUUAGUCUGGAAGCAGUUAAAACCAUGCUGUUAGAUGUGAAGGCCAAGGUUAAAUGGAGAAAGUAUAAUGGCAACAUUUGAAUAGAGCUUUAUCAUGUUGAAACAAGUAUUUUUUUAGACUUUGUUAGAGCAUGUUUGGAUUAAAUAUCAGUUUUCAAUUACA
Molecule: long non-coding RNA, 971 nt
Organism: Oncorhynchus nerka (sockeye salmon)
Lineage: Eukaryota; Metazoa; Chordata; Actinopteri; Salmoniformes; Salmonidae
Exons: 2
Source: RefSeq, a predicted model, not a curated record